RNAcentral lists this ribosomal RNA (1622 nucleotides) under metagenome. RNAcentral's name for it is "SSU rRNA". It matches the Rfam family "Eukaryotic small subunit ribosomal RNA". The record is from RNAcentral.
ACCGUGGUAAUUCUAGAGCUAAUACAUGCUAAAAAUCCCAACUUCGGAAGGGAUGUAUUUAUUAGAUUAAAAACCAAUGCCCUUCGGGGCUCCUUGGUGAUUCAUGAUAACUCUUCGAAUCGCAUGGCCUUGUGCCGGCGAUGGUUCAUUCAAAUUUCUUCCAUAUCAACUUUCGAUGUUUGGGUAUUGGCCAAACAUGGUUGCAACGGGUAACGGAGGGUUAGGGCUCGACCCCGGAGAAGGAGCCUGAGAAACGGCUACUACAUCCAAGGAAGGCAGCUGGCGCGCAAAUUACCCAAUCCCGACACGGGGAGGUAGUGACAAUAAAUACUGAUACAGGGCUCUUUUGGGUCUUGUAAUUGGAAUGAGUACAAUUUAAAUCCCUUAACGAGGAACAAUUGGAGGGCAAGUCUGGUGCCAGCAGCCGCGGUAAUUCCAGCUCCAAUAGCGUAUAUUAAAGUUGUUGUGGUUAAAAAGCUCGUAGUUGAACCUUGGGCCUGGCUGGCCGGUCCGCCUCACCGCGUGUACUGGUCCGGCCGGGCCUUUCCCUCUGUGGAGCCCCAUGCCCUUCACUGGGUGUGGCGGGGAAACAGGACUUUUACUUUAAAAAAAUUAGAGUGCUCCAGGCAGGCCUAUGCUCGAAUACAUUAGCAUGGAAUAAUAGAAUAGGACGUGUGGUUCUAUUUUGUUGGUUUCUAGGACCGCCGUAAUGAUUAAUAGGGACAGUCGGGGGCAUCAGUAUUCAAUUGUCAGAGGUGAAAUUCUUGGAUUUAUUGAAGACUAACUACUGCGAAAGCAUUUGCCAAGGAUGUUUUCAUUAAUCAGGAACGAAAGUUAGGGGAUCGAAGACGAUCAGAUAUCGUCGUAGUCUUAACCAUAAACUAUGCCGACUAGGGAUCGGACGAUGUUAUUUUUUGACUCGUUCGGCACCUUACGAGAAAUCAAAGUGCUUGGGCUCCAGGGGGAGUAUGGUCGCAAGGCUGAAACUUAAAGAAAUUGACGGAAGGGCACCACCAGGGGUGGAGCCUGCGGCUUAAUUUGACCCAACACGGGGAAACUCACCAGGUCCAGACACAAUGAGGAUUGACAGAUUGAGAGCUCUUUCUUGAUUUUGUGGGUGGUGGUGCAUGGCCGUUCUUAGUUGGUGGAGUGAUUUGUCUGCUUAAUUGCGAUAACGAACGAGACCUUAACCUGCUAAAUAGCCCGUAUUGCUUUGGCAGUACGCUGGCUUCUUAGAGGGACUAUCGGCUCAAGCCGAUGGAAGUUUGAGGCAAUAACAGGUCUGUGAUGCCCUUAGAUGUUCUGGGCCGCACGCGCGCUACACUGACGGAGCCAGCGAGUUCUCCCUUGGCCGGAAGGUCCGGGUAAUCUUGUUAAACUCCGUCGUGCUGGGGAUAGAGCAUUUCAAUUAUUGCUCUUCAACGAGGAAUCCCUAGUAAGCGCAAGUCAUCAGCUUGCGUUGAUUACGUCCCUGCCCUUUGUACACACCGCCCGUCGCUACUACCGAUUGAAUGGCUCAGUGAGGCGUCCGGACUGGCCCAGAGAGGUGGGCAACUACCCCUCAGGGCCGGAAAGCUCUCCAAACUCGGUCAUUUAGAGGAAGUAAAAGUCGUAACAAGGUC